AUGGCGAGGGACGGCAGCGGAAAGGAUGAACGGGAGAGGGCUGAUCUCCCGCUUCCCCUGCCGCGGCCUUCCCCUUCUCCCUCCUCUCCCCCUCCUCGGCUGGUGGUGGCCGGGGAAGCCAGGGUCCCCCUGGCCAUUUGGCCGCCCAGAACCUCAGCGCUCACCCACCACGUCCCCGGGGUGGCAUCGGCCAUGGGGGCGGUGGCGGGACGGGGGGGACGCGGUGACGGCCACCUGGCCCUGGCUGACAUCAGCGCUGAUGCCGGCGCGGGGCGCUUAAUGGCAAUCCGCCGUCAGCGAGUUCCCACUUUCCUGGGUCGCUGCGUUAUUGCAUCGGGUCCGCUGCGUUAUUGCAUCGGGUCCGUUGCGUUAUUGCAUCGGGCUCGCUUAACCCGACGGCGGCUGGGGAUCGAUAGAUGGCCGCGUGUCUUCAUGAUCGAUCCGCUGCUCACAAACGCGCCGGCCCCUUGCUCGCGCUCGCUCUGUGCGCGUGGCGCGGGUCGUGCAGGAUCCCAAAGGCGCUGCGCUUUGACGAGGGGUGUCGAGGGCACUGGCUUUGCUCCCCGACCCAGCAGUUUUUGCCUGUUUUUGGCAGAGAUGCCGGUCCCCCGGCUGGCGGGGGGUCCUCCGCGCCCACCCCACCCGUGCCAGCACCGCCGCCGUGGCGGAGGGCCUGCCCCAGCCGUCCGUCCCGCUGCUUUAUUUCUAUGGCAACAUUUCUCCCGAAAAGCUCCAGCGGGAGCCUGGCGCUGUGUGAAAACGAGGGAGGCGGCACCCCCCACGCCGUCCCCUGCCAAAGACACCAAGAAAAGACCCUGGCCCCUCUCCCUGGCCAGUCCCGAUGCAACAAGCAUCCCGUGCCUGUGCGGCAUCCCCUCCGCCCUGCCCCUGCCUGCCCUCCGCUGCCUGUUCCCUGCCUUCAUCCCCUCUUCUUCCUCCCCUGCUUCCCCCUCGGCCAGGUCACCGUUUUGGGGAGCUGUCCCCUCCUAUGCACUUUGCCAGAGCCUCUGUGCCUUGCCCCCUUCCCACCGCAACGCGCACGGCUUCUCACCCUCUCCGUCCAUCCCGGCCUGCAUCACCCUUUGCGCAGAGAAAAAGGGAAUUGCGGGAAAAGGGAAUUAUGGAAAAAUAAAGAAAAAGGGGCUUCAAUAG
This 1152-nucleotide long non-coding RNA is filed under the name Anser cygnoides (Swan goose). Its description in RNAcentral is "lncRNA (ENSACDG00005018054.1)". The record is from RNAcentral. Lineage: Eukaryota; Metazoa; Chordata; Aves; Anseriformes; Anatidae.